ACUUGCUGAUUUUCAGAUUUCGACAUGAGCUUCUAGAACCAGCAAUUUAAAGAGACAUCUUUGAACAUAUUCAGGAAGGGCAGCUCCACUUUCCAUUGCAAACACUGAACAUGAAGGUGAUGCUACUGAGAGCAGACUCCAGGCCAGGUGUUCUUCUGAACCGCAGCACUCCAGAGACAGGUCCAUAAUAAAAUAAAAAAGAAAAAGGAAAACAAAAAAUAUUUGUCAGAAUACAUAGAUACAUUUUUACAAUUUCUAUGAUUUAAGUUCUAAAAUAAAAGUGUCUGACCAAGUACA
Molecule: long non-coding RNA, 297 nt
Filed under: Cyanistes caeruleus (blue tit)
Lineage: Eukaryota; Metazoa; Chordata; Aves; Passeriformes; Paridae
Description: lncRNA (ENSCCEG00000022897.1)
Source: RNAcentral